RNAcentral lists this long non-coding RNA (1677 nucleotides) under Solanum lycopersicum (tomato). RNAcentral's name for it is "long non-coding RNA (SLYC_LNC001190)". The record is from RNAcentral. Lineage: Eukaryota; Viridiplantae; Streptophyta; Magnoliopsida; Solanales; Solanaceae.
AAAUAACAAACAAGGAGUUGGAAAAUUGAUGGGGAAAAUACAGUGAGGCACAACAAAGAUCUAAUACAUAGCAUAAAUUCAAAAUCCAGAGUGAAUUGAAACCCAAUUUAAUUGAAAAACAUAACAUAACAAGUCAUUGUAAAUCCAAAAUCCUUUGUUCUAAAACAAAAACAGGAUUACACCAAAACUUAAUUUGUCACCCAUAUUAACUUUAUCACUUCUGUUCUUCUCUAAUCUCCCUUUCUCCUGAAAGAACAACCCUCGGUGAGUCUAGCACGCCCACCAGUUGGCUGGCACAAGACCGUCUGGCAGUUACCGCAAACCACAACAGUCUGCGAGUGGCUGAACACCGUUGUUCUGCACACAUAUAGAGAGAAAGAGACUGAGAAGCGAUCCUAGUUAUAUUUGUACGACAGAAACUAAUAUGAAAGAUGUUAUUGAGGGUCAAAUCGGAACUGAACCAAACUCAGGUCCUUACCUCAAAGAUUCAGUUCGUGUUCAUAUACUUUCUACUUUCCGUAGGCGACUACUAUCUUGGCUUAACAGAAGAAUUCAUAUAUAACCUCUUCAGACGUCAACUAACUGGUUCAUCAAACACUACCUAACUCAGGUCCUUCCUCAAAGAUUCAGGUCGUGUUCAUAUACUUUCUACUUUCCGUAAGCAACUAUCUUGGUUAAUUAUAUAAUCUCUCUACAGACGUCAACUAACUGGUUCAUCAAGCACUACCAACUCUGUUUGGAGAAGUUCGUUUCCUUUUAUACAAAAAGCAUUUUAAUUAUUCUUUGGUUGUAUAAAUUAGAAUGAUUUUUCGGAUAAAUUUCAAGGAUGAGUUCUCCUAACUUGUUUUCCAGCUUCAAAUACUACUUAUUAUGGGAUAUUAAUGAAUUCAUCAACUUUACUUAUCAUCAACCAUUCUUCAACUCUACUUUUUUCCAAGCUUUAAUCACCAAAUACUAUAUUUCAACUUCAAAUAUACUUCUUUUUUCUAAAUUCUAAAAUAUCACUAAAUUGAUCAACUUUACUUUCCAUUAACCAUAUCUUAACUUCAACUAUACUACUUUUUCUAAGUUUGAAAAUAUUACCAAGUUGAUCAACUUCAAUUUUCAAAUAUCAUUCUUCAAUCUCAAACGCUACAACGUUCCAAAUAUCACUAAAUUCAUCGACUUUACUUCUCCAUUAACCAUAUCUCAACUUCAAAUAUUCUACUUUUUCUAAGUUCUAAAAUAUCACUAAGUUGAUCAACUUUAAUUUUCAAAUACUACCAUUUUUCAAUCUCAAAUACUACUACGUUCCAAAUAUCACUAAAUUCAUCAACUUUACUUCUCCAUUAACCAUAUCUCAACUUCAAAUAUCAGUACUUGGUUCUAAAUAUCACUAAAUUCAAGUCAAAAGCACCAAACUAAGAUAAAUGAACAAAAAGAAAAACUUACAUGUUGAAGCAACCCUGGCACUUCACAUCCUAAACAACACAGCAAAACAAAUCACAGAUUAGUUUCAAAAACUAUAUACAUAAAUUUAAACCACAAAUACAUGAAUUCAAAAGAAUAUACAAAUACACUGACAAACUUUUUCCUUUACCAUGAAGAAAGAGUUAGGAGAUUGAACCAAACGCUUGAGCUUGUGCUUUCUCUUCUCAUGCUCAGCUGGUGGGUUCAACAAGUCAACAUCAUUUGGAA